UUUUUUUUUUUUUUUUUUAAUCUUGAGAACCAGUCAACAAGAGUUGGAUCAGGUUACCAGGAACAUCUAUAUAAACCCAACUAAAGCAUCCCAAAUUCAUAUCAUCCAUCUGCCUACUAGUUUCAUUUGAUUCGAUUACAAACAAUAGAGAUGGCCGUCAGCUUUGGCAAAGGAUUGCUUGUCCUCCUCCUAACCUUAGUAGCCACCUUGGCAAUUAGCCAAGCUGAAACAGUUGUUGUUGGAGGGUCUCAGGGAUGGCGCUACGGCUACAAUUACAAUAAUUGGGCAAAGGAUCACGGUGCCUUUUUCCUCGGCGACACACUAGGUUAGCCUUGUAUUUAUUGUCCGAAAUUUUUAUAGCUACAAAGGCUGGACUGGCGUCUCAGUUGAAUUAGAAAAUCUGAUUCGAUUCAAUUUUGAUAUAUACUUGUUUUUUCAUUCUAGCAUAGGCAAGAUAAAUUGGAUAUACUUUUGAUUGGAUAUUCCAAAUCUACUAACAAACUGGUUAAUAUUAUUAAUCUGCUGGAAACCUUUUCUAAGGCUUGUUCUCGGUUGAUUAUCUUACUUUGAUUAUAUAUUCUAAGUUUUAAUAAUCAAUUUUUAAUGCUUUUGUUUGCUUUUACGUCUAAACUUUAGAUUUUUUCAAUGGCUAAAAAAGUUAAAACACAGAAUCUACCAAAGAGCAGCUUUAACUAAUUUUGAUUAUUAGAAAAAUUUAUGAGUAUUAGCGUUGGUUUGGUCUAACCUUAGUUGUUUUGCUGGUGAAUCAGUGUUCAAGUAUCGUCCUCCUAGCAAAAUCUCGAGGCCUCACAGCGUGUACCUGCUGCCAAACCUGUACAGCUUCUUGACAUGCGAUUUUAGGGGCGCAACCCGGUUGGCAGGUCUGAAUCAAGGAAGUGGAAAUGGCUUCUCCUACGUGCUAAAUCAGGUCAGACCUAACUACUUUGCUAGCGGAGAGGGCGACGACUGCGAGAAAGGAUUGAUGAAAUUCGUUGCCAUACCUCUGUAUCGUCUUCCAUUUCCCUGAUGUGUUUCGCCAAAGCCACAAUCGAUCUGCAACAUGCUUCUGAAAAAUGAGAUUGGAUACGCUUCAUUUUUUGGUUUUUCGUGUGAUAUGUAUUGUAAUAAACUGGAAACAGUAACAAAUAAAUGCUUGUGAUUUUUCUUGUACGUAAGGCUGUUACAUGCACUUGUACGUAAGCCUGUUGCAUAAUAAUUAUGGCUUCCUUUUGGGCACCAAUGAUUCUCUCUAUCUCUCACUCGGUUUCUUUCUCUCUUGUAAUCAAUUAGAAGACCUAGUCAAAUUGUGAGAAGCUCUUCUAUCAAAUAGUGAAUCCGACAUACAAAACAAAUGUAAUCUCCACUUGCCUAAAUUGUUCAUUUAAAGUUCCUUCCAAAAUUGUGAAAUAUACAUUAAGGAAUGCUAUACAAUUUCACAGAAAAUCUAUAUUAAAUUAAAGGAUACUGGUGUAUGGAUGUCAGUAUGUCCCUAUCGUGUAAUUGUAUCAAAUUUUGAGACUUUGCCAUCACAGCCAAGUAGAUCAGUUUUUUACUCCAAUAACAAAAGAGAGAUUUAUGAAAUUUUUUUAAGAUUUCUUUUUAUUUUUCUAUUAAAACACCCCUUUUAUUAGCAAUUAGCAAUAAGGUCGUUACAAUGAGCAAGAACUCAAAAACAGAGGCGAGAAACUGCCAAUCAAGCUGCCAAUGAAUACAAAAACGCUAAAAACAAAGGCAGUGUUAGAUACAACGAAUAAAAUCCUCUUAUCUGUUAUUAGUUUCCGCAUUUCUAGUUAUUCAUUAGAAUUACAAAAUCAUUACUGAGAUUCAGAGGAUUUUGUUCACUAAAGAACGUUAAAUAAUGUGCACGUACUUAUGCAUUUGAAAAUAUACAGUACCAUUAUACAACUUAGAAUCUUCUGAUAUAAUUUGUCCUUAUCGACCGUGAUAACAGAUAAGAGGUAAAGACUUUUGGGGAAGACUUAUGGGAGGACGACUAAGAUUUAAUUAAUGGUGGAGAAUUUAGUGCCCAUGCAAUUGACUUUAAAACUAGUUGAAAACAAUAGAGUAAUGAUUGAUGCAUAAAAUAUAUUCAUCUUCAUAAUGCCCGGUUUAGCACUGUAACUAAGUGCUAAAUUAUAAAUAGGGAAAAAAUUAUCUUGAUUUUUCUGGAAAGGACCAAAAUGAAGUUCAAGUUUUAAGAAAAAAAAAAAAAGUUGCAAUAUUACUGUGUAGCAGUAUUUUAGUCAAAUUGAGUUUUUCAUAGUUUUAUUUAAAUCAAAUUAUGGUAGUUUUAUUGUUUAAAAAUUAGUAUUUUAUUAAGUAAUUUCUUAUAGCUGUCAAACAACACAUAUAAUCUACAAAUGAGGAGUCUUAUUAUUAUGGUCAGUUAAAAAGUGAAAGGUUGAGGGUAUUAUUAUUAUUAUGUGUGAUUAAUGAUAUGUGAUUGAUUUAUUUAUCUUUUCUCACACAUAUUUUAUUAUGGUGUAGAUUUGUCUCCCCCUUAUAUAUUUGUGAGUGUUUUAACAUGAGCAAAUUGUAUUAAAUAUCAGUUUAGAAAGAGAUGGUCAUGUUUUUCACUUCUUUCAGUUUAGAAAAUGGUGGCUCCUCCACUUGAUGUUGAUGAAUGUUACAUACUCAUCAUUUCGGUUAAUUUUAUCGGUGGAGGAGACCAAGUUGGUGGUCCUCUAAAAUUAUGUGAACAAAAUCAAGUAAAAUCACUAGUUAUAUGGAUGUUAAUAAGAAGGAAUAACUUAAGAAACCUCUCCUUUGGGUUUUUGAGAAUUACAGCCACUUCUUUGAGGUUUAAAAGAUUACAUAAAUCUUUCUUAAAAAUUAUAUUUUUGUAAUAAUUGAUGAUGUAAGCACAAAAAAACUAACGAAUAUCCUAUAUUGUCACGAUUUAAUUCCUAAAGAAAAUUAAAUGAUAAAAGAAUUUAAAUGCCAUCGUUACCCGUUUAAUUAGAUAAAGAAUUUCAAGGUAAUUCGUGGUACACAAAUUGGAGCCAUGCUUCACACGGGAUCCUCAGUGCUACUUCUAUAUUUAUGUCAAAUGUUCUAUUUAUUUAAUUUAUCAUAUGUUGUUUAUUCAAAUUUCUUCUACCAUCACGUGAUUAGUGGGAUUGACACUGAAUUUGGCAUCGAGUAGUGGCACAGAGGAUCCCAACUGUGCUUUGAAGCAUCUUUUUCGGCUGCUUGAGCAUCAUUUUUCUUUCUAAAGUAAUUUGCAAAGCAACUCCUUUAAACAAAUGCAUCCGUAGUGGAUGAUUAGCUCUUUAUUGAACUGAUCAAGAAUUCCAUGUACUGUGUGAGACGAGUUUAGAACUUUCGGAUAAAAAGGUAUUAGCGUGAAAGAGUUUCAUUUAUUAUGUUUUAAACCGAAUUUUCAUUUAGGGUUUGUAGAUUGUGUGAAGGCCAGAAAUAGUCUUUUCAUAAUAUCAAAGAAAAUAAAUUUAUAAUUUUUCAAACAUCAAAGGAGGUGCCCCCAAUUGUCAGAAUAAUAAGAAAGUAAUUUAAUUAGGUAAUUUGGUUAGCUCUAGUGUCUCACAAUUCCUAGUUUUGAAUAUAGUCUAUGCUUUGAUUAGAGAAUUUUUAGAAUAUAGGUUUUUAUUUUUGAAAUCUAAAGUAACACAAUCUAAAAACACUCCAAAUACAAACAAUUUCAAAUAUACCUAACAAAAAAUACAAAUAUAAUUAAAAAAUAUAAUAAAUUCUAUCACCUCUUUCUUUUUCUACCCAACACCCACCAUCCCUCCUCCACCGCCACCUCUGCCUCUCCCUCCUCCUCUGUCCUCCCUUUUUCCCUUUCUCUCUUUUCUUCCUUCCUCCUUUUUCUGCUUCUUCCUCUUCCUUCUUUUCCCUCCAUCUCCCUUGGCAGCCUCCCUCCUCUCUCUCCUCCUUUUUCAACAACCCCCUUACCUUUCCCUUCUGUAGAAGAGGAAGAAAGUAAGUGAUAUUUUGAAAAUCUAAAAAAUAUUAAAUGUUAUUAAGAGAAACUUCAUGGGAGGUUUCUGAUAUUAUCCUAUACUACAACGGAUAACAAAAGAUCAAGAUUUGAAAACAACCAGAAAUAUAAGGUACCCCUUUGUACCAAAAUCAAUUCCUCCAGAAAAAACAAGAAGUAACAGGAAAAUGAAUAGGUACAAUCGAGAUCUUUUUUACUUCUUGAUGCAAUCAAGAUUGAAUUAUCCCAAAAAAAAUUUCUACCUGAAUAAACUUAUGAGUUAAGGGUGGCACAAGACUGACAACAGAACAGGACACAAACUGUUGACAAUUUAUUAAUGACGUCGCACAAUCAUAGAUUGGGCUGUUGCGAUGGAGGAGGCUGAUGUGGGGCGGUAAUGGCUGACUGGAGGAGAUGGGGAGUCAAAGUAAAACUGGGUACUUUAUGUCAAACUAUACGGGAGCCCGAAAAGCAAACAUUGAGGAAUAGGACAACAAAGUAGGACUUAGGCUAAUUCGCCAACUUGACCUGCUCACAAAGUCCGCUUGGUUGAGAACGCUGAAAGUUCCUUUUUUUUACCCCCUGAAAAGUUGAAAAUUUUUAAACAAUACAAACACAUAAAUAAACAUCUUAGACACCCCCCCCCCCCUUCAUUCUUUUUUGUCUUGUUUGCUUAUUAAGCAAGGAAAGAUUUACUGAAAUGCUGCAAACAAGUGAUCACUGAUAGUUGGAACUUGAAAGGUUCAAAUAUGCAAGAAUUAUUCAUUGAGAAGCUGAAAAUAAACUCCAUAAAUUUUCACAUGUCCAAAAUAUAGGAUUUUCCACACAGAUGCAUAACCACAUGCAUUUGGAUACGCGUCAACAAUAUACAACCAAUACGUAUCUAAUGUCUUCAUAUUAUACCUUGUCAACCAUUUCUUUUUUAUUUUUAUUUAAAAGAAAAAAGAAAAACUUUACUUUUGUAAUGGUAGUUAUACUUGUUCAACUUCUAUAAUCAUGAUUUAUUUAUGUCUUUUAAGAGUAUGUUGUUUUCCUCCCCUUUUUUUUUUUGGUCUCUAGUUUCCUGGAUCGUUGAACAUAAAGAGAUGUAUAAUCUGCGUUUUGGAUUAUAAUCAAGAGAUGUAUAUUCUCCAUUUUCCCACAUUUACGCAAGUAACAAAAUGAACAUAGCUCAUGAUCAAAGGUCUUUAUUUCUCACCAAGAAAUUAAUUCAGCGUUUGGUGUCGAAUUUCCUUAUCCUUCCUUUUCAAGAUAGAAGAAAAAUUGGAGGCAAGCAAACCAAAUCGGCAACAUAAUUAUCUAGAAGACCAUUUUGAUUUUAUUGGUGUUGAGUUUUCCAUAUGCACUUCCAUUCUCGACUGUCUGGCCAAAAGAAAAUGCCUUUGAUGGACCAUUUCAAAACUUCGUGAAAUUCAAACUCAGUUGUUUUAACUGACUUCCAAGCCUGUACCAAAAAUAGUAUCAUAACCAUAUUCUUCGCCUCUGUAGAGACUUAAUCACCCUUGCUCUUUGUAGCAUUGAUGACUUGUUUCAUAUAAUUUAAUAGAAGUAAAUGAGUUUAUAGUUCAUUUCAUAAUCACGAAAGUAGGUAUGAAUUAGUUAUAAAUAUAGUUGGUACGCCCGUGAAAGUGGGUAUCACGAGCAUUAGGAAAUUACGCCAUAAGUUAACCAAGGUUUUGAUACUCAAUUAGUCAGGAAGUAGUACUAACAUGAGUAGCUAGGGAUUUCAUUACACAGAAAACUUUCAUGUGUAUUUUUCUACCCAUUAGUAGCUUAAGUUUAUUAGUUUUAAUUUGUUGAUAUUUUAAAUAAUAGAAAAACUUUAGUAAUGCUGAUAAUUGUCCGUCUUCUUUGUAGAUUCGACUCUUAAUACUCUAUACUCAAACAUGACCUGUAUACUUAUAGUUAUAUAUGGGGUAUUUAGAAAUUUAUAAAUUUAAAACUUGCGGCGAAGUAAGAGAUUAUUUUUAUAUACACACCCUGUACCUAUUAAUAAUAAUUUAUUAUGCCUUUUAAGAGUAUGCUAUUUUUUCCCAUUUUUACCUUUUUUUUUUCUUUUUCUCAUUGGUCUCCAUUUCCUGAACUGUUGUACAUGAAGUGAUGUAUAAUCUCCAUUUGGGAUAAAAGAUGCAAUUAUAACGUAUGAAUAGAGCCAAUGAUCAAAGGUUUUAUUUUUCUCACCAAGAAAUUGAUCUAGCCUUGGUGUCACAUUUCCUUGAUGCCCUUGUCCUUCAUUUCCAAGAUAGAAGAAAAAUGGAGGCAAGAAAACCAAAUCGACAACAUAAGCAUCUAUGUAGAGAAAUUAAGCCAAGUUAACGUUGUUUGGCUAGUAGUGAGACUUAUAUUAUUUAGUUAGUAUAAUGGCCAGGUGGCUUCAAUUCCAUUCCAGGAUGUAUUAGUGCUAGUCGCAUAGGGCUUAGUAAGUGCAUAGGGCUUAGUAUAAUGGUCAGUUUGUAAGUUAGUCGCAUAGGGCUUAGUAAGUGCAUAGCCUCGUGUUUCAUAUAUUGUCAGUAGCCUCAAUUCCGUUUGUAUAUGGUGAGGAGUCGCAGCUUGUUUCAUCAACAUAGAAAAUUUCCCUUUACCCCGUAUAUCAAUUUCUUGAACAUUUUCUUACGGGUUUACGCUUGAUUAUUGUUUUGUGUCCACCAAUCUAGAAAGCCAUUUUGAUUUUUUUGGAAUUAAUAAAGUAUUAUGUUUUCUACCAUAAGAAAAAAAAAAGUUUUUCAAAUGCACUUCAUUUUUCGAUUGUCUGGCCAAUGAGGAAAAAGAAAAUGCCUAUAAUUUGAUGCACCGGACCGUUUCAGACCUUCGUGUGCAAUUCCGGUGCGUACCAACCCAAACUUCUGUUGCCUUUUACUGACUUCCGGGGCUCGUCAAAAUCAUAGGAACAUUAUCAUUUUUCGCCUUUGAAAAAACUUAGUCACCCUGGCUCUUACAUUUUCCUCGUCGACCAACACGAUUACAUUUUACGCCCACCCUUUGGGACUUCACAAGUCUUGCAACGUAUGCAACCUUGAAGCCAUUCUGCGGUCAAAGGCAUGGAAAUGUAGAAUUUUGUUGUAUGAUUUUCAAACAUCACCCAAGAAAACUGGAAAAAUGAUCUUGUACAUGUUCAUUUUAGUCAGCAUUUGGAAAUUUUUUUCAUUUUGAGAACCAGUUAACAAGAUUUGGAUCAGCUUGCCAGGAACACCUAUAUAAACCCAACUACAACAUCCCAAAUUCAAAUCAUCCAACUACUCAUAUCUUAUCUUUUCUACCUGCAUUUGAUCCCAAUACAUACAAUAGAGAUGGCCAUCAGCUUUGGUAAAAGGAUUGCUUGUCCUCCUCCUAACCUUAGUAGCCACCUUGGCAAUUAGCCAAGCUGAAACAGUUGUUGUUGGAGGAUCCGAGGGAUGGCGUUAUGGCUACAAUUACACUGAGUGGGCCUUCAACCACGGUGCCUUUUUCCGCGGUGACAUACUAGG
This 7404-nucleotide long non-coding RNA is filed under the name Coffea arabica (coffee). RNAcentral's name for it is "long non-coding RNA (CARA_LNC007262)". The record is from RNAcentral. Lineage: Eukaryota; Viridiplantae; Streptophyta; Magnoliopsida; Gentianales; Rubiaceae.